UUGUAGAAAUCUUUACAGCUGGUACAUUAGGCGUUUUGAGCAAAUUAUGGUUUUUAGUCUCUGGCAUUCUCUUAUUCUCUCUAAUCUGAAUGUUUUUGACCGAUCAUGUUUGAACAGACUCUAGUCGGUGAACCUUCUUACCUUUUGAGCAUGUUACUCCUGUCCAUUCAUCAGGACAGAUGCAGACACCGUUCUCUGGUUUCCCUCCGUUAUCACAUGUCAGAGCAGUGGUGGUAGGAGGGGUAAGCGUAGUUGGGGAUAUAGUGGUUGUAGUAGUAUUAGCAGUAGUAAUAGGUAUAGUAGUUGAAUUAUAAUGAGUAGUGUUUGCUGAAGGAAUUGUUGUAGGAUUAGGAGGUAAAGUACUGUUAGUGUAUGGGCUCGUAGCAUUAGUACCGAUUGUAGUAGGAGUACUGUAAGUAGUAAUAUUUGCACCAGUAGUUGGGUAGAAAGUAGCAGUAGUGUUUGUGUAAGGAGUAGUUGUAUUAGUAUCACUUGUAAUAGUAGUAACAGGAGAAUAGUGAGUAGUAUUCAUUUGAUCAGUCAUGGGGUUGGAGGUAGUAUCAGUUAUCUGACUAACAGUCGUAUCAGGCCUGGUCAAAUCUGUGGUUGUAAGAACAGGACUGGAACUAGUGGGAGGAGUUUCUGGAUAUUCUGGUGUUUCCGGGUCAGUGGUUGGAUCAGUAUCUUGUGUUGUGGUACUCAAAUUAGAAGUAUUAGAUGAAGUGGUAUUGUUAGGAACUGUUGUUAUAGUAGUGAUAUCCUCUGGAGUUACAGUAGUAAUGCUUUGUUCAGUAGUUAUAUUUUGUGCAGUAGUAGAAUCAUCAGGAACAUCAGUAGUAAGGAGUGCAGUAGCUGCAGUAUCAGGGAUGUCUGUUGAAGUUAACUCUGCUCCAGCUGUGAAGGAGGCUAAAGGAACAGGAACAUUACAAUGAUCAGUUAGUUCAUUAAAAGUGCUAACAUGCUGAUACUUAGCACGUACGCUAUUUACUAUACCUGAUCUUAGUAUGUCAUCAUUAGUGUUCUGAAGGUUACUUUUAAAAUGUAUUCCACUACAGAUUACAGAAUACAUGCCCCAAAAUGUAUUUUGUAACGUAUUCCGUUACGUUACUCAAUGAGAGUAACGUAUUCUGAAUAAUUUGGUAUACUUAAUAUAUUAUCAUGCUAUUUACAACUACAUGAAUGUACUAUUGUUGUGUGAUUUAUUACUAUUACUGAAGGUUACUCACCAUGCCAAUACCAACUAGAUUUUUAAAUGUUAAUAUAAAAUGAGUAACAGGAGGGUGGACAUUAGGUAAGGCUGCACUUUUUUGCAGCGAUCUCGUAUAGAAAACUAUUCCAUGCGUAUAUAAAACGGGUCUGCGGCUCCGAACUGUAGUAAAGGGACCUCUGGCUAAUACGUCGGGUUCCGUGUCGGGCUCGUAGCCGAAAACUAGCUUUACUUUGUUGUCUGGGUUUUUGCUAGCGAGAGACCGAGAGAGGCGUUGAAAGACUGCUCCUAUGGAACUUACUGUUUCGGAGGAAAACACGAACACAGUGUACAGUCGAUAUUUACAUGCUUCAUACAUGUUAUGCCUGUAACACUCUGCCUAUUGCCUUCAUAUUAAAUAAUUUUUUGAAUAAUGAUUUUAAAAAAUAUUUCUUCACGUCAUUAUGCCGCAAGUAGAGGUGACAUGGGCUGUGAGAUUGAGACCCAGGCAUUAGAGCCUCUUAAUGUGUGUUUUGUUUGGGUUUCCACCGGUGUGGAAUUUUGUUGGUGUGAUUUGCACUUCAGGGCCACCGUAGAGGGCAUAGCCUAACAUAUGAAACAGGAAAAGACCCAUUUAUUUCAACAAAGUAACUGUAUUCUAAAUACCACCUUUUUAAACGGUAACUGUAACGGAAUACAGUUACUCAUAUUUUGUAUUUGAAAUACGUAACGGCGGUACAUGUAUUCUGUUAUUCCCCAACACUGGUCAUCAUUAAAAUUAAGCACAAAGCCCAGAUCCAGAUAGUAUUUAAGGUACGGUUGAUAAAGAUGGACAUCGGAACCCUGUUAUCACAAUCCAUCCACCCAGUUUUGAAAAAAAAAAAAAAAAAUUCCAACAAACUAUGAACAAAUGACUGAUACUGUGAUACUGUGGGAAAAAAAUUGACAUAAGAGGAAAACAAUUAUUACACAAUACUGAAAGCCUCAAGAUGCACCCAUAGUAUCAAUUUAAAAAUCCUAGGUAACAUCUUUCUACAGUUGCUAUGUUCACAAACUUUCCUGGUCGUCCAGUCAGCCAUAACAACCAUUAUGACAUAUUAAUGAUAAUAGCUGGAAUAAAGCCUUCCCACUGAGUUCAGCUGAGACAGACUGUAGAAUAGUUAUGACUGCAACCUUGUGAUAAUGCAGCUGUGACUCUGACUUUACAGUUACGUCUGUGACAGUAACAGUGACUGUGACACACUGAACACACACAGUAUAAACUGAUGUCCAUACACUGACCACAGCUUGAAGAACAGCAGCUGUCAGAGAUCAAUAUUAUUUCUGUAUUACAGAAACAAUAACAACACAGUAAAACGUCUCCAGACGGGAAGACAGUAUCAGCAAUGUAGCAUCACUUUGUGUGUGGACAGAGUUUACUGUUCACAUGGAUCAGAAGAAAUGUAAAACAAAAAACAAAAAAAUGAAUAAAUACCUGACCUUCUUACUAGUUUAUAAUACUCAUUAAUUUUGUAUCCAUUAACAAUGAACUUAGACAUAACACAUUAUCAGUAUUAUUCUUUUACUUACACUUAUAUGAAAUUGAUGCUUGUAUUAUGUUUGAGAAGAGCAACAAGAAACAAUAAAUUUUAUCCUAAGCUGUCUGUGUAACUUAAUGAAUCAUACAUAUAAACUUUAUUUGAACAGUCAAAAUGAGAGAGUUAUUGUGCAAUUAUGACCUCCUAACUCAACACACUAACGGCUCUAGAAGUGUCAGAAACCGAGAAGCUCAGUUUUUCUUACCCAGAGUGAAAACAAGCCAAAUCCAGCUGUCCAUGAUGAUGAGCAGCUGCAGACCAGGUUUCCUGAGUCGUCACAGUCCAGUUUGUUAAAAGUUUUAACAAUCCUGUUGCUGUGGGAGUCUGUGUGAAAACACCCAGUUCUAGUGCUUCAAAAGGAGCCACCGAUAAAAUAAUGAUGAACAUCAAAGCAGCUCAAAGGUUCAUUUUAACUGUUGCAGGCAUCUUUCCAAUGCCAAAGUUUAUGGUUUCUUUGUUUUAUCUGACGUUUAUUUCAGUUUAUAUUACUUGUUGGUUGCAUUGUCUGUUUAUUAAUGCCGUCACAGCUGCUGGACUGGGGCCACAAAUCGGAUGUUUUGCGCAUACUAUUUGAUAGGUUUGUAGCUUAAACCUAUUCGCUGGAACGUUGAAGGCAAUGUGAUUACACAGCAAGCAAGACACGAGUAGGCAACAUUCUUUAUGUUUCACGUGCACGGGAGAGAACUGGACAGGCGCUGUUCCUUUGCUUGACCCCAGUUGCUCUCGUCCGCUCUCCCGUAACACUGCUCUUUUAUUGUGGUUACAUGAAUAUGCAUAGGUUCAUUAACAUGUGACAUCUUAUAUAGGUAUGCAUGUGAACAAAGAAUACCCUGAGUGUGUGUGUGUGUGUAUCUAUAUGUGUAUGGGGUCAAGAUGUGACCCCAGGAAGACUCCCCAAAGCUGGUGCCAGGAGUCUAGCGGUACAUCUGAACAAAAGGCUCUUAGACUCAAACAGAUAUACGUGUGUUUGCUAUACCAUAUAUCAGCAAGAGAAGAUACGACCUCUCCUAGGAGGUGUGUGAUCUAUGCCAGAACACUCUGAAGAGGAGUGAACGCACUCCCCUCUUCAUGCUACACAGAGUUGUUACAGACCUCCUAGGAUGAGACAUUCUUUCAAUCUACAAAUGAUUAUAUACUUCUAAGCAUAUAUGAGUAAAUAUUUCUAAGCAUAAAUGACAAUCACACUACAAAUCUAACAUUUCCCCCCUUUUGGCAAUUAUGCUAGAAAACGGUACAUCUGAACAAAAGGCUCUUAGACUCAAACAGAUAUACGUGUGUUUGCUAUACCAUAUAUCAGCAAGAGAAGAUACGACCUCUCCUAGGAGGUGUGUGAUCUAUGCCAGAACACUCUGAAGAGGAGUGAACGCACUCCCCUCUUCAUGCUACACAGAGUUGUUACAGACCUCCUAGGAUGAGACAUUCUUUCAAUCUACAAAUGAUUAUAUACUUCUAAGCAUAUAUGA
Long non-coding RNA from Oreochromis aureus, 4226 nucleotides. The record is from Ensembl. NCBI's taxonomy places the organism in Eukaryota, Metazoa, Chordata, Actinopteri, Cichliformes, Cichlidae.